Long non-coding RNA from Silurus meridionalis, 2037 nucleotides. RefSeq lists it as uncharacterized. NCBI's taxonomy places the organism in Eukaryota, Metazoa, Chordata, Actinopteri, Siluriformes, Siluridae. The record is from RefSeq and is a predicted model, not a curated record. The transcript is spliced from 2 exons.
AUGGUGUGUGUGUGUGUGUGUGUGUGUGUGUGUGUGUGUGUGUGUGUGUUUGGCUUCUGAUGUAAAAAUGCUGCUUCAUGAUUUAUUCGCCAUUUUGUGUAUUUUUUCUGUUUUGUGCCUUUAUAUAGAGAAUUGUGGGCGUCGCCAACCGUGAUUUCAGCAUUUAUCAACUCACACACACAAAGCAAAUCAGUGUUUACCCAAGCGUGUGUGAAAUUUAUUUUUGGAACUUUAAGUCACUCUCACACACACACACACACACACACACAUAUAUUUACAAAAUACACAGUGUAAAAGUGAAAGUGAAUCUUCAUGAAAUUGUUACAGAGAUUUCAAUUAAAAAUAUUAUUAAAUUGUUAAAUAGUAUUGUAGCCACGCCCCUUUCCAUAACAGGCACAAUAACUGUAUUGUCGCCACCCCUUUUUUCCUAACAUAUAUCAUACCUGUGUCGUAGCCACAUCCCUUUCUUUAAUGAGCACAGUAACUGUAUUGUAGCCACGCCUCUUUCCCUAACGGGCACAAUAACUUAAUUGUAGCCACGCCCCUUUUUUAAUGGGCAAAAAACUAUCCAGAGCGACGUAUAAAAGUGCUUUGAGUCUCUAUCAGUGAAUAAAUCUACACUGUACACCAGAUUACAAACUUAAUAUAAAUAUAACUCUUGAAUUCUACAAAGCAAACUUGGAAAGUGCUAAUGCUAAUUGGUACAAUAACUGUAAUGUAGCCACGCCCUUUCCCUAACAUGCAUUGUAACUGUAUCGUAGCCACUCCUUUUCUUCUAACCUAUAUCACAAUGGUAUCGUAAUCACGCCCCUUUCCAUAAGCUAUAUAAUACCAUAGCCAUGACCCUUUUCCCAAAACGGUAUCAUACCUGUAUUGUAGACACGCCCCUUUCCAUAACCACACCCCUUUUCAUUUUCAUGCCUUUAUCAGGUUCUUUGUUUUUGUUCUCCCUUUUUUAUGUCCCUGCCUCUAUUAAUAGCCCCACCUCUGUUCCAACUUCUGCCUGGACAUCCCUUUGUUUUCUGAUCACACCUUCUUCUCCUGACCACACCUUCUUUCUCUGACCACACCUCCUACUACCUGACCACACCUCCUACCACCUGACCACACCUUCUCCUGAUCACACCUCCUUCCCCUGACCACACCUCCUUCUCCUGACCACACCUUCUCCUCUGAACACACCCCCUACCAACUGACCACACCCCUUCCCCAGACCACACCCCUUUUCCUGACCACACCUUCUUCCCUGACUACACAUCCUUCCCCUGCUAUUUUUUCCUGCUUAAAUCCCAUAUAUGGCUGAUUUUUUCUUUCUCCACCUCUUAUCCCUGUUUCCACCCCAUUUCUAUAUCCUGCCCCGGUCACUUUUUCUGAUUUGUCCUUGACCACACCACUUUCUUUUUUUAAUAUUUUCAAUAAUCAUAACUCUUCCUGACCACACCCCUUUUCAUAUUAUCACCAAUCAGCAUAUCCACGUCAUCUCUCUGUGUGAUUAUCUCAUUAUAUUGUUGUUAGCGUCGGGUUAGAUGUUUCUCCUUAGCAAUUUUGAAACGUCCUUUACAGAGUCAAGGUCACAGCAAGGUCAAACAUUUGAAUUGACCUCCAUAACUUCCUGUCUGAAGUGUGUUUCAAAGGUAUUUUAGAGGAAAACGUUAUUAAUAUGGAGGACAUGAUGUGUUCACACUGGUGUACAGCAAAAUAAUAAAAAACCAGGAAAAUAAGAAUAUGUUCAUAUUUACACUCAGUUUAUGAGAACAAUUAAAUAACAGUUUGUGUGUGUGUGUGUGUGUGUGUGUAUGUGUGUGUGAGUGUAAUUGUGUGUGUGUGUGUGUGUGUGUGUGUGUGUGUGUGUGUGUGUGUGUGUAUUGAAUCAGUUCAUGGUGUUGAAGGUUCUGUGAUUGAAAAAUGGUGAUGUAAAUGUGAUAAUUUAUUAUAAAGUGAUUGGGUCUCAGUGAUUAUUAACAAACAUCUGGUUUAAGGUACACAAACAACUGAAAAUGAAUGAAUAAAUAAAUAAAUAAAUAUCAGAUGUUGACA